UUUCGGGGAGGACGCUCACCACUUUGUGGUUCAUGACUGGGGUGAAGUCGUAACAAGGUAGCGCUAGGGGAACCUGGCGCUGGAUCACCUCCUUAUACGAUGAU
Molecule: ribosomal RNA, 104 nt
Filed under: Vibrio sinensis
Lineage: Bacteria; Pseudomonadati; Pseudomonadota; Gammaproteobacteria; Vibrionales; Vibrionaceae
Description: Vibrio sp. BEI233 partial 16S ribosomal RNA
Rfam family: Bacterial small subunit ribosomal RNA
Source: RNAcentral